GAAGAAUUAGCCAGCUCCACUGGAGAAGUCUGGAAGACAAAGACACAGCAGUCUAAACUACAGAUGAGAAGGGAAAAGUAAGGCACACAAAAAUUUAAAAUGUGGACUAUAAUAAGUCUCAGCUGGUGUAGUCCAG
Acomys russatus (golden spiny mouse) is the source of this 136-nucleotide long non-coding RNA. RefSeq lists it as uncharacterized. The record is from RefSeq and is a predicted model, not a curated record. Lineage: Eukaryota; Metazoa; Chordata; Mammalia; Rodentia; Muridae. The transcript is spliced from 2 exons.